RNAcentral lists this long non-coding RNA (290 nucleotides) under Helianthus annuus (common sunflower). RNAcentral describes it as "hypothetical non coding rna". Lineage: Eukaryota; Viridiplantae; Streptophyta; Magnoliopsida; Asterales; Asteraceae. The record is from RNAcentral.
GUAGUAACCUGUUCGUAGUCAAGGAUAAAUAGUUGGGUAGUGAACGCGGGUCUUGUUUAGAAGUUCUAAGCUUUCGCUAUGCACAAAUUAUCAAAGGUACCCUAGGUAUCUCCUCCGGGUCGAAAUCAUGUAUUUCUACUUGAUUUCCAAGGUUUUCUAUUUCCAUGGGUUGAUCAGGAAUUGGUGGUUGUGGUUGUGGUUGGGGUGCUAGCAUUUACUCCAGGUUUGGGUCAGCUGCAGUGGUUGCUAAAAUAUGGAUAUUGGCUAUACCCCUAUUAAGCAUAUCCUGG